RNAcentral lists this RNase P RNA (368 nucleotides) under Chitinophagales bacterium. RNAcentral describes it as "RNase P RNA component class A". It matches the Rfam family "Bacterial RNase P class A". From Rfam's summary of the family: Ribonuclease P (RNase P) is a ubiquitous endoribonuclease, found in archaea, bacteria and eukarya as well as chloroplasts and mitochondria. The record is from RNAcentral. Lineage: Bacteria; Pseudomonadati; Bacteroidota; Chitinophagia; Chitinophagales.
AGUUGCAAGUGCUCUAUCGCUUCGGGAAACCGGGGAGGAAAGUCCGGACAACAUAGAGCACCGCACCACCUAACGGGUGGGGAGGACACACAACGUUCUUACAGAUAGUGCCGCAGAAAAUAACCGCCUCGGCUUAGCCGUGGCAAGGGUGAAAACGUGCGGUAAGAGCGCACGCAUCGUUGUAGCAAUGCAGCGGUGGGGUAAACCUUGCGGGUUGAAAGCCAACGUACAUCAGCGCUUGAGGGCUGCUCGCCCGAUUGUUCGUUGAGGGGUGUGGCGUUUCAGGUACUGCGUGAGCAGUAUCGCAGAUAAAUGAUAGGGGUUCGCCUUGGCGAAAACAGAAUCCGGCUUAUAGCUUGCAACAUUUU